UACGGAGGAUCCGAGCGUUAUCCGGAUUUAUUGGGUUUAAAGGGUGCGCAGGCGGGAUGUUAAGUCGGCGGUGAAAUUUUGCAGCUCAACUGUAAAAGUGCCUUCGAUACUGGCUUUCUUGAGUGUGGAUGAAGUAGGCGGAAUUUGUGGUGUAGCGGUGAAAUGCUUAGAUAUCACGAGGAACUCCGAUUGCGCAGGCAGCUUACUAAACCACUACUGACGCUCAUGCACGAAGGCGUGGGGAUCAAACAGGAUUAGAAACCCUCGUAGUCC
This 273-nucleotide ribosomal RNA is filed under the name uncultured prokaryote. Its description in RNAcentral is "partial 16S ribosomal RNA". It matches the Rfam family "Bacterial small subunit ribosomal RNA", at positions 524 to 796 of the family's 1533-position model. The record is from RNAcentral.